This 497-nucleotide ribosomal RNA is filed under the name uncultured bacterium. RNAcentral's name for it is "partial 16S ribosomal RNA". It matches the Rfam family "Bacterial small subunit ribosomal RNA", at positions 28 to 507 of the family's 1533-position model. The record is from RNAcentral.
GAUGAACGCUGGCGGCGUGCCUAAUACAUGCAAGUCGAGCGAACGGGCGAGAAGCUUGCGUCUCGGAUGUUAGCGGCGGACGGGUGAGUAACACGUGGAUAACCUACCUAUAAGACUGGGAUAACUUCGGGAAACCGGAGCUAAUACCGGAUAAUAUUUUGAACCGCAUGGUGCAAAAGUAAAAGACGGUCUUGCGGUCACUUAUAGAUGGAUCCGCGCUGCAUUAGCUAGUUGGUAAGGUAACGGCUUACCAAGGCAACGAUGCAUAGCCGACCUCAGAGGGUGGUCGGCCACCCUGGAGCUGAACCACGGUCCUGACUACUACGGGAGGCAGCAGUAGGGAAUCUUCCGCAAUGGGCGAAAGCCUUGCGGAGCAACGCCGCGUGAGUGGUGACGGUCUUCGGAUCGUAAAACUCUGUUAUUAGGGAAGAACAGAUGUGUAAGUAACUGUGCACAUCUUGACGGUACCUAAUCAGAAAGCCCCGGCUAACUACGUG